RNAcentral lists this ribosomal RNA (253 nucleotides) under uncultured bacterium. Its description in RNAcentral is "partial 16S ribosomal RNA". It matches the Rfam family "Bacterial small subunit ribosomal RNA", at positions 524 to 776 of the family's 1533-position model. The record is from RNAcentral.
UACGGAGGGUGCAAGCGUUAUCCGGAUUCACUGGGUUUAAAGGGUGCGUAGGUGGAUGGGUAAGUCCGUGGUGAAAUCUCCAAGCUUAACUUGGAAACUGCCGUGGAUACUAUCUAUCUUGAAUACCGUGGAGGUGAGCGGAAUAUGUCAUGUAGCGGUGAAAUGCUUAGAUAUGACAUAGAACACCAAUUGCGAAGGCAGCUCACUACCCGCCUAUUGACACUGAGGCACGAAAGCGUGGGGAUCAAACAGG